Molecule: ribosomal RNA, 2569 nt
Filed under: Paraburkholderia metrosideri
Lineage: Bacteria; Pseudomonadati; Pseudomonadota; Betaproteobacteria; Burkholderiales; Burkholderiaceae
Description: 23S ribosomal RNA (partial)
Rfam family: Bacterial large subunit ribosomal RNA
Source: RNAcentral
CCAUAGCAGGUGAUAGCCCUGUAGACGAAAACAGCGAGGAAGAACUGGGUGUACGAGAAGUAGGGCGGGACACGUGAAAUCCUGUCUGAAGAUGGGGGGACCAUCCUCCAAGGCUAAAUACUCGUGAUCGACCGAUAGUGAACCAGUACCGUGAGGGAAAGGCGAAAAGAACCCCGGGAGGGGAGUGAAAUAGAUCCUGAAACCGCAUGCAUACAAACAGUAGGAGCCUCCUUGAGGGGUGACUGCGUACCUUUUGUAUAAUGGGUCAGCGACUUACAUUCAGUGGCAAGCUUAACCGAUUAGGGCAGGCGUAGCGAAAGCGAGUCCGAACAGGGCGAUUCAGUCGCUGGGUGUAGACCCGAAACCAGGUGAUCUAUCCAUGGCCAGGAUGAAGGUGCGGUAACACGUACUGGAGGUCCGAACCCACUAACGUUGAAAAGUUAGGGGAUGAGCUGUGGAUAGGGGUGAAAGGCUAAACAAACCUGGAAAUAGCUGGUUCUCUCCGAAAACUAUUUAGGUAGUGCCUCGUGUAUCACCUUCGGGGGUAGAGCACUGUCAUGGUUGUGGGGUCCAUUGCGGAUUACUACGCCAUAGCAAACUCCGAAUACCGAAGAGUGCAAUCACGGGAGACAGACAUCGGGUGCUAACGUCCGGUGUCAAGAGGGAAACAACCCAGACCGCCAGCUAAGGUCCCCAAAUAUUGCUAAGUGGGAAACGAAGUGGGAAGGCUAAAACAGUCAGGAGGUUGGCUUAGAAGCAGCCAUCCUUUAAAGAAAGCGUAAUAGCUCACUGAUCGAGUCGUCCUGCGCGGAAGAUGUAACGGGGCUAAGCAAUAUACCGAAGCUGCGGAUGCACAUUUAUGUGCAUGGUAGGAGAGCGUUCCGUAAGCCUGCGAAGGUGCAUUGAAAAGUGCGCUGGAGGUAUCGGAAGUGCGAAUGCUGACAUGAGUAGCGAUAAAGGGGGUGAAAAGCCCCCUCGCCGUAAGCCCAAGGUUUCCUACGCAACGUUCAUCGGCGUAGGGUGAGUCGGCCCCUAAGGCGAGGCAGAAAUGCGUAGCUGAUGGGAAGCAGGUUAAUAUUCCUGCACCAUUGUUAAAUGCGAUGGGGGGACGGAUCGCGGAAGGUUGUCCGGGUGUUGGAAGUCCCGGUCCUUGCAUUGGAGAAGGCGCUUAGGCAAAUCCGGGCGCGGAAUUCAAGGGUGCGAGGCCAUUCACUUAGGUGAAGAAGCAAUCGGAAGUGGUUCCAAGAAAAGCCUCUAAGCUUCAGUUUAACAAGACCGUACCGCAAACCGACACAGGUGGGCGAGAUGAGUAUUCUAAGGCGCUUGAGAGAACUCGGGAGAAGGAACUCGGCAAAUUGGUACCGUAACUUCGGGAUAAGGUACGCCCCUGUAGCUUGAUGCCCCUGCGGGCAGAGGGUGAAGGGGUUGCAAUAAACUGGUGGCUGCGACUGUUUAAUAAAAACACAGCACUCUGCAAACACGAAAGUGGACGUAUAGGGUGUGACGCCUGCCCGGUGCCGGAAGAUUAAAUGAUGGGGUGCAAGCUCUUGAUUGAAGUCCCGGUAAACGGCGGCCGUAACUAUAACGGUCCUAAGGUAGCGAAAUUCCUUGUCGGGUAAGUUCCGACCUGCACGAAUGGCGUAACGAUGGCCACACUGUCUCCUCCCGAGACUCAGCGAAGUUGAAGUGUUUGUGAUGAUGCAAUCUCCCCGCGGCUAGACGGAAAGACCCCAUGAACCUUUACUGUAGCUUUGCAUUGGACUUUGAACCGAUCUGUGUAGGAUAGGUGGGAGGCUAUGAAGCGUGGACGCCAGUCUGCGUGGAGCCAACCUUGAAAUACCACCCUGGUUUGUUUGAGGUUCUAACCUUGGUCCGUUAUCCGGACUGGGGACAGUGCAUGGUAGGCAGUUUGACUGGGGCGGUCUCCUCCCAAAGUGUAACGGAGGAGUACGAAGGUACGCUAGGUACGGUCGGAAAUCGUGCUGAUAGUGCAAUGGCAUAAGCGUGCUUAACUGCGAGACCGACAAGUCGAGCAGGUGCGAAAGCAGGUCAUAGUGAUCCGGUGGUUCUGUAUGGAAGGGCCAUCGCUCAACGGAUAAAAGGUACUCUGGGGAUAACAGGCUGAUACCGCCCAAGAGUUCAUAUCGACGGCGGUGUUUGGCACCUCGAUGUCGGCUCAUCUCAUCCUGGGGCUGUAGCCGGUCCCAAGGGUAUGGCUGUUCGCCAUUUAAAGAGGUACGUGAGCUGGGUUUAAAACGUCGUGAGACAGUUUGGUCCCUAUCUGCCGUGGGCGCUGGAUAUUUGAAGGGGGCUGCUCCUAGUACGAGAGGACCGGAGUGGACGAACCUCUGGUGUACCGGUUGUCACGCCAGUGGCAUCGCCGGGUAGCUAUGUUCGGAAGAGAUAACCGCUGAAAGCAUCUAAGCGGGAAACUCGCCUUAAGAUGAGAUAUCCCCGGGGCUUUAAGCCCCUUGAAGGGUCGUUCAAGACCAGGACGUUGAUAGGUCAGGUGUGGAAGCGCAGUAAUGCGUUAAGCUAACUGAUACUAAUUGCCCGUAAGGCUUGAUCC